AUUGAACGCUGGCGGCAGGCCUAACACAUGCAAGUCGAGCGAGCGGCGGACGGGUGAGUAAUGUAUGGGGACUGCCCGAUAGAGGGGGAUAACUACUGGAAACGGUGGCUAAUACCGCAUACUAUCGGAUACCCCAUAUGGGAUUAGCUAGUAGGUGGGGUAAAGGCUCACCUAGGCGACGAUCUCUAGCUGGUCUGAGAGGAUGAUCAGCGAAACUGGGACUGUGACAAGGCCCAGAAUCCUACGGAGGGAGCAGGGGAGAAGAUUGCACAGUGGGCGAAAGCCUGAUGCAGCCAAGCCGCGUGUAUUAAGAAGUCAUUAGGGUAGUAAAGCACUUUCAGCGGGGCGGCGUUCCCCUCAGAAGAAGCACCGGCUAACUCCGUGCCAGCAGCCGCGGUAAUAC
RNAcentral lists this ribosomal RNA (403 nucleotides) under uncultured bacterium. RNAcentral describes it as "partial 16S ribosomal RNA". It matches the Rfam family "Bacterial small subunit ribosomal RNA", at positions 30 to 526 of the family's 1533-position model. The record is from RNAcentral.